AUGGUCUGUAAUUCUGAAAAGAUCAUCUCCAUUCAGGUGCAAAAUCAUAGAAAAGUGAGAACGCACUCUCUCAACAUCGCAUACAUGGGUGACAAGAGUUUUGUUCCCAACUCCAGCAUCACCAAUGAUUGGAAGCACGGCCAGAGAACCUGGGGUGUUGUGGUGCAGCAAGAACCUGAUGAUCUGCUGCUUCUCGACAUGGCGGCCAAAUAUGAAGUUGUCGAUGUAAAGAUAUGCAUCAUAGGGUCUACGGGAGAUGCGCUCGCAUCCGCCCAAAAGGAUGACAAACUCCGCCAUGUUAGCAACACCGGCCUCUAG
RNAcentral lists this ribosomal RNA (318 nucleotides) under Triticum aestivum (bread wheat). RNAcentral describes it as "partial small subunit ribosomal RNA". Lineage: Eukaryota; Viridiplantae; Streptophyta; Magnoliopsida; Poales; Poaceae. The record is from RNAcentral.